CACAAAAACCAAAAAAAAAU
This 20-nucleotide small RNA is filed under the name Arabidopsis thaliana (thale cress). RNAcentral describes it as "ATSL072060". The record is from RNAcentral. Lineage: Eukaryota; Viridiplantae; Streptophyta; Magnoliopsida; Brassicales; Brassicaceae.